This is a non-coding RNA of Schizosaccharomyces pombe (fission yeast), 333 nucleotides long. Lineage: Eukaryota; Fungi; Ascomycota; Schizosaccharomycetes; Schizosaccharomycetales; Schizosaccharomycetaceae. The record is from the annotation of a GenBank genome assembly.
CACGGAUAAUUAGGUUACAGAUAACUCUUUCUUCCUUCGUUCAGACAAGCAGGCAUAUAUACGUUUAAACGGAAAUCUCCUUAUAUUAAAUUUUUGGACCAUGUGCAUAACAAUUGAAGCGACUAUAGCUAUACCAACCAUACCACACAUGGUUUCAUUACUCCGUCGAAAAGUGGUAUCAGCUUUCCAUCCGGAAUACAAAGCGCUUGUAGCGACAACGCUUCCUAAAUUGCCCAAUCCACUUACUAUCGCUAAUCCCGCAGCGACGCCUACAUCGCCAUGAGAAGGACCCAUUGCGCUUGAAACCCAUGUCAUUAUAAUAGGAACAGUCGG